AGAGCCCACCCGUUUCUAUUUAUAGUGGAGCCGGCGUGCGUCUGGAAGCGGUGGGGUUGCUUUUUUUGUAGUGGUGCCGCUGAGGCACCUGCCCGCCCCUUUCCUGCGCCUCCGCAACGUCGGCUGCGAAUGAGUCUCCUAAAGGACGCCCGGGAGGAUCGGAAACAGCUCAGUCCCGGCGCGGGCAGUGUCCUGCGCUCCUCCCCGGGGUCUGGCCGGGGUGGGCCCGAGGCCCCCGGGCGCCCGGUUACCGCCGCGGGCGCGUCUGCGUCCUGACCGCGGAGGGACCCGCGGGCCGGGCCGUACCAGUGAUGCAAGAUGGUCCUUUCUGAGCAGAGCUCCCCUCGUUCAGUGCUCCUUUGUUUCACCUAGAAGAUCUUCUUGAGGGGACUGUGUGGCCAGUGCAGCUCAGGCCUCCCCACCCUGCACCUUUCAACAGAAGAGCAGCUGACGCAGGGGGCCCUCAACACGCUCACCCAAAAGUCAGUGAGAUUCUGCACCGGCCCACUAGCCUUCCAAUUGUAAACUAAAAAUAAAAUCUUGGCCAGGCACGGUGGCUCAUGCCUGUAAUCCCCGCACUUUGGGAGGCAGAGGCAGGUGGAUCACCCUGAGGUCAGGGGUUCGAGACCAGCCUGGCCAACAUGGCAAAACCCCGUCUCUACUAAAAAUACGUAAAAAUUAGCCGGGCGUGGUGGCACACACCUGUAAUUCCAGCUACUCGGGAGGCUGAGGCAGGAGAAUCGCUUGAACCUGGGAGGCAGAAGUUGCAGUGAGCUGAGAUCGUGCCACUGCACUCCAGCCUGGGUGACAGUGAGACUCCAUCUCAAAAAAAAAAAAAAUCCUAAGCCCCCCAAUUACUGAAAAGACCCUUCUUGGCCAAGGGGUCCCGGAGACACCUUAAAAACCGAGUUUCCAGCCAGGCGUGGUGGCUCACACCUGUAAUCCCAGCACUUUGGGAGGCCAAGGCGGGUGGAUCGCCUGAGGUCAGGAGUUCAAGACCAGCCUGGCCAACAUGGCAAAACCCCAUCUCUACUGAAAAUACAAAAAAAUUAGCCGGGUGUCGUGGUGGAUGCCUGUAAUUUCAGCGACUCGGGAGGCUGAGGCAGGAAAAUUGCUUAAAUCUGUUUCAGUGAGCCAAGAUCGCACCACUGCACUCUAGCCUGGGCAACAGAGUGAGACUCCAUCUCAAAAAAAAAAAACCAAAAAACUGAGUUUCCAGCCGUGACGGGAUGGUAGGUCAGAGGCAUCUACCUACCCCUCCCUUGUGUGGUUUAGACAGAACUGACCGGUGUUCAUGUCAAAAUAGAGAUCAUAAGACUAAGAACAGGCCCUGUGGCAAUAAAAUACCAAAUUAUAAAACAGGACCUCAGGCCAGGCCUGGCGAAAGUAAGUUGUGCAUCCCUGCACGUGAAGAAUCAACUCUGUUCUAAAGGCCGUAGGUUUCUCUUUUUCUGUAGCAGCUGAACAAUCACUAGCCUCAAGAUAAGCAGCAUUAAAACAACCGCAGCUCCUCCCCCUGCCAACCCUGACCCCACACCCCUGCUCCGCCAGCCGACCCUGGCCCCACACCCCUGCUCCGCCAGCCGACCCUGGCCCCACACCCCUGCUCCGCCAGCCAUAACUAGAGCUUUCCUUGGACAAGAAACUCAUUUCAGUAAUUUUUCCCUGAUAAGAGACCCUGACCAUAGACGGGUUCUGGUUGGUUUACAGAGAUUGUGCCCUCAUGUGCCUUUGUGUCCUGAAAAGACCUUUUGAGGUCUACCACCUAAUUGUAAUACGUUUACAUGUUGCCUCCAUCCCAAGGUGAACACGGGUCAUAUGUAACAUACAUGUCUAUCCAGCACACAUGUCCAAAUAAACAUGCAUGCAUAUUCACAACGCC
This 1882-nucleotide long non-coding RNA is filed under the name Pongo abelii (Sumatran orangutan). RNAcentral describes it as "lincRNA". The record is from RNAcentral. Lineage: Eukaryota; Metazoa; Chordata; Mammalia; Primates; Hominidae.